GUUUUCAAAUUAGGACAAGACAGAGGGGAAAGAAGUUGAAAGUCUGGACAUCACUGAAAGGAGGUGAAGAGAAAGCAGUGGCAUGUGAAGAGAAUUGUGGAGCAGGGAGGAAUAUCCAGAACUCACUGCUUAACGUGCAGCCCCACCCGUGUGCCUUUUUCUUGGGAGGGGGAAGUGGAGGAAGAAAGUGUCAGAAGGCUUAACUCACUUAGGAAAGACUGCUUGUAUAGAUUUGACACUAAGGUCAGAGCUCUCACUGAAUGCAGAAAUUCAAGACACUGGUCACAUGAACUGACCUGCACCACUGCCAACAGUAAUUUGGACCCUUCUCUUCCCCAGCACACUAUCAUUUAAGUUACUCGCACUACCUCCCUCCUGCCCUGUGGAAACUGAGUUCCCCUGCUGCUCUGGAAUGAUGAGGAAGGAUGGAUUUGGGAACCUCCUGAGCUGAGAGCUGCAUGGAAGGAGGAUGAAGAGUAUGGCAGGUGAAAGCUCCUGCAUGCCCUGUGAUGCAAUGGGAUGAUGCAAGGACUGUUUCAGUUUAAACAGAUGUCCUCUUCUGCAUUCCCAGAAGGAGCUGCAGAGGGACAGAAAUGUUUCAGUGGAGUUUGGUUUUUGGCCACGUUGCAGAAGGGUAACCAGGAAAAGCCUCACGCUCUACCUCAGAGGAGUCAUUUUUCAUUCUUAAGCAAUUAAGGUCACUUCAGCAGUGACUUGUUCUGACAGAGUCUUAAAACUUGUACAUAAAGUUAGGAAAAAUGGAAUUAAAAUGCUGAUUGCUUUGGAUUUACACUGACUGACACUUGAGGUAAUGAUCAGUCUCUUUAUAAACAGUGGUAUAUUAAUCUAAUUAUGAGAGGAUUUAGUGCCAAGCAUUUUGCCCCAUGGUUAAAUUCUUGAGAUGCGGAUGAGAUGGUUGGCAGUGAAAUUCUUUGCAGUAAAGCUUGCCAUCUACUGGCACAUCAUCCCUACUACCAGAAACAUGGCCACGCUUGCAGCUAUUACAGAACUGGCACAAAUAACCUCAUAUAAGAAAUGCCAAGAAAAAGACAGUUUUAGCUUUGUUUUUUUGCUCCUGAAUAAGAUUAUUUAAAUUCAUUGAAGUGAUCUUGUUAGUGUAUGAAUAAUUGAGCUUAUAUAGCUAAUCACCACUAAAAGUUCAUGGUUUUGGCUGGUAAAGGUUUCUGAAUGAUCAGAAACUACUGUAGUGAUACAAAACAAUUUUUAUGAUGUUAGAAAUGCAUGGCAAUGAGGCUAGAAGGCCAAAAUUGAAUUAGGGAAAAGUUAUCAUAAACAGGGCAGGGAUUUUGAA
This is a long non-coding RNA of Hirundo rustica (Barn swallow), 1312 nucleotides long. RefSeq lists it as uncharacterized. The record is from RefSeq and is a predicted model, not a curated record. NCBI's taxonomy places the organism in Eukaryota, Metazoa, Chordata, Aves, Passeriformes, Hirundinidae. The transcript is spliced from 5 exons.